AGCAGCCGCGGUAAUUCCAGCUCCAAUAGCGUAUAUUAAAGUUGUUGCAGUUAAAAAGCUCGUGGUUGAAUUUCGGGAUCAAUACGUCGGUCGUGCUUCGGUACGUACUAACGUCAUUGAUUUCUCCCUUCUGACGAAUCGUGAUGUCAUUAAUUUGGUGUUACGGGGAGUUAGGACUGUUACUUUGAAAAAAUUAGAGUGUUUAAAGCAAGCAAUCGCUCGAAUACAUUAGCAUGGAAUAAUGAAAUAGGACGUUCGAACCUAUUUUGUUGGUUUCUAGGAUCGACGUAAUGAUUAAUAGGGAUAGUUGGGGGCAUUAGUAUUCAAUUGUCAGAGGUGAAAUUCUUGGAUUUAUUGAAGACUAACUACUGCGAAAGCAUUUGCCAAGGAUGUUUUCAUUAAUCAAGAACGAAAGUUAGGGGAUCGAAGACGAUCAGAUACCGUCGUAGUCUUAACCAUAAACUAUGCCGACUAGGGAUCGGAUGAUGUUAAUUUUAUAAUGACUCAUUCGGCGCCUUAC
RNAcentral lists this ribosomal RNA (520 nucleotides) under uncultured Glomus. RNAcentral's name for it is "SSU rRNA". It matches the Rfam family "Eukaryotic small subunit ribosomal RNA", at positions 569 to 1091 of the family's 1831-position model. The record is from RNAcentral. Lineage: Eukaryota; Fungi; Glomeromycota; Glomeromycetes; Glomerales; Glomeraceae.